CAACCAUAAAAGACGCCUGUGCUUGGAAACCACAGCCUGUGCACGUAUCCCCACAAAUGGAUAUAUUUUAACCCCCACUGGCGAUUCUUGUUCACCUGUAAACAAAGGGAAUGCUGGUUAUGUGCGAUUCAUUGACUAGUGUGGUUUUGGAGGGCAAGUAUGUGGUGAGGAGACGGAGAUGACACUGACAAGUGGAAAUGCCAUUCCAGGAGCGCAGAGUGCGCCUAUUUGGCAUCAUAGCGGCACAGCUAGAGGAACUGCUCCCUCACAGGUCGAGUGAGCCAGGCUUGAUCCUCAGGUGCUGCCUGUGUGAAGCUUUCAGCAUCCUGCAGUAACCACAUCGGUUUUCUCCAGUUGCUUGGGCUUCCUCCCACAUCUCAAAGGCAUUCUGCUAGAUCUAAUAUCUAACAAUCUUGAAUAUCUAUUACUUCAAAAACUUAAUCUUCUAAUUGAUGCCAGCAAAACUUAAGAAAAAGAAGAAGAAAUGUGCGUUGGAUUAGGCUGUGGAAUUGUUACUUUUCUUGCACUUCCUUUGUAGCUUUAACUUCCCCAUGCUUGCUUGUGUUUUUAUGUAAUCACCUCUAUACAUGUGAACUUUCCCGAAAGUCCAGUGCAGUUGCUUUUGUGUUUUUCUAUAAGCUUCUUAGUUUUCUGUAGCAGGUGUCACUUAAAUCUAGUCAAUUUAUAGAUUAAUUUUUAUCACUGGAAUUUUGUUAUCUCUAGUCUGAGUAUUUAUUUAUACAUAUGAGCAGCACUGCCCAACAACCCACCUAUUUAACCCUAGCCUAAUCACAGGAUGAUUAGCAAUGACCAAUUAACCUACCAACCAAAUUGUCUUCACCCUGUGGGAGGAAACUCACACACUCAUGGGGCGGCCAUACAAAUUCCUUACAGAGGACGCUGGAAUUGAACUACAAACUCCAAUACUGUGGGCUGCAGUACCAUUGUACCAUGACUCCCUUUUCCUUGGUCUCUUUUCUUUGAUUCCUUGU
Hypanus sabinus (Atlantic stingray) is the source of this 992-nucleotide long non-coding RNA. RefSeq lists it as uncharacterized. Lineage: Eukaryota; Metazoa; Chordata; Chondrichthyes; Myliobatiformes; Dasyatidae. The transcript has 4 exons. The record is from RefSeq and is a predicted model, not a curated record.